UGGGGAAUAUUGCACAAUGGAGGGAACUCUGAUGCAGCGACGCCGCGUGAGUGACGAAGGAAUUCGUUUCGUAAAACUCUGUUCUAUGGGAAGAAAAGGACUGUACCAUAGGAGAAAGCUCCGGCUAAAUACGUGCCAGCAGCCGCGGUAAUACGUAUGGAGCGAGCGUUGUCCGGAAUUAUUGGGCGUAAAGGGUGCGCAGGCGGCUUUACAAGUUGGAUGUGAAAUAUUGUGGCUCAACCACAAACGUGCAUCCAAAACUGCAAAGCUUGAGUUAAGGAGAGGUAAGUGGAAUUCCUGGUGUAGCGGUGGAAUGCGUAGAUAUCAGGAGGAAUACCGGUGGCGAAGGCGACUUACUGGACUUAAACUGACGCUCAGGCACGAAAGCGUGGGGAGCAAACAGG
Molecule: ribosomal RNA, 404 nt
Filed under: Fusobacteriota bacterium
Lineage: Bacteria; Fusobacteriati; Fusobacteriota
Description: Fusobacteria bacterium partial 16S ribosomal RNA
Rfam family: Bacterial small subunit ribosomal RNA
Source: RNAcentral